GUGUCAGCAGCCGCGGUAAUACGAAGGUGGCAAGCGUUACUCGGAAUUACUAGGCGUAAAGCGCAGGUAGGUGGUUUGGUAAGUCCGUAAUGAAAUCUCCCGGCUUAACUGGGAGGGGUUUAUGGAUACUGCCAGGCUCGAGUGUGGGAGAGGUAACUGGAAUUCCUGGUGUAGCGGUGAAAUGCGUAGAUAUCAGGAGGAACACCAAUGGCGAAAGCAGGUUACUGGCCCAAUACUGACGCUGAGCUGCGAAAGCUAGGGGAGCAAACAGGAUUAGAUACCCCGGUAGUCC
RNAcentral lists this ribosomal RNA (292 nucleotides) under uncultured bacterium. Its description in RNAcentral is "partial 16S ribosomal RNA". It matches the Rfam family "Bacterial small subunit ribosomal RNA", at positions 505 to 796 of the family's 1533-position model. The record is from RNAcentral.